This 66-nucleotide transfer RNA is filed under the name Glycera fallax. RNAcentral's name for it is "tRNA-Thr". It matches the Rfam family "tRNA". From Rfam's summary of the family: Transfer RNA (tRNA) molecules are approximately 80 nucleotides in length. Their secondary structure includes four short double-helical elements and three loops (D, anti-codon, and T loops). The record is from RNAcentral. Lineage: Eukaryota; Metazoa; Annelida; Polychaeta; Phyllodocida; Glyceridae.
GCUUACAAAGCUAAAAAUAGCGUUGGUCUUGUAAACCAAAGAUUGUGGGCCACCCCUCUGUAAGCU